RNAcentral lists this unclassified non-coding RNA (271 nucleotides) under fungal sp. RNAcentral's name for it is "partial internal transcribed spacer region". The stretch from base 1 to 46 matches the Rfam family "Eukaryotic small subunit ribosomal RNA", at positions 1786 to 1831 of the family's 1831-position model. The record is from RNAcentral. Lineage: Eukaryota; Fungi.
AAGUCGUAACAAGGUAACCGUAGGUGAACCUGCGGUUGGAUCAUUAAUGAAUUUGGCUUUUGAAGCUAAUUUAAAAGGUUGAUGACUUUUAGUCAUUGACUGAAACACCAUUGUGAACUUGUUUUAUUUGAAAAAGGGUUGACUUGUAUUUUGACACGUUGUGUUGAAUGUCGAGUUAGCCUUGCUUCAAAUUCUUUAAACUUUGUAUUAUUUAAGUCUUAUCAAAUUAUAAAAUUUGAAACAACUUUUGACAACGGAUCUCUUGGCUCUC